GGGGCUGUUUUUCAUGGUUCGGGCUAGGCCCCUUAGUUCCAUUGAAGGAAAAUCUUAACACUACAGCAUACAAUGACAUUCUAGAUGAUUCUGUGCUUCCAACUUUGUGACAACAGUUUGGGGGAGGCCCUUUCCUGUUUCAGCAUGACAAUGCCCCCGUGCACAAAGCGAGGUCCAUACAGAAAUGUUUUGUCGAGAUCAGUAUGGAAGAACUUGACUGGCCUGCACAGAGCUCUGAUCUCAACCCAAUCGAACAUCUUUGGGAUGAUUGGAAUGCCGACUGUGACCCAGGCUUAAUAGCCCAACAUCAGUGCCUGACAGCAAAGGGGGGGACCAAUUCCAUAUUAAUGCCCAUGAUUUUGGAAUGAGAUGUUUGACAAGCAGGUGUCCACAUACUUUUGGUCAUGUAGUGUAUUUACAUUUUGAGUGCAUUUUCCAAAUGUUAAACAUACUAACUAUGUUUUGUAUUACAGGUGAAAAUCUGAAAAUGAUUGACCAUUUGUCAGACGAUGCUAAAGAGCGGAUGGUUGUGGCAUGCUCUGCGUUCAGUUCUGUCUCAGAUAAAGUCAUCAACGGCAACAUCCAGAUGAAGACUCUCAGCAAAGUCCUCUCAAGGAGAACAACAUUCAUUGAGCUUUUGAAGAUAGAUGGCCUGUGUGAAGAUGGUCGUUGUAAGGACGACACCACUAUGAACAGAUUACUGAGAUUUAGAGAAGAAGAAAUGGAGAAUGUGAACAGUUACAAGAAGAUGGUUGAGGGCCUAGUUAUAAUUUGUCUCCAACUCCAGGAGCAUCUGAAAGGUGAGUUAAAUUGUAUUUGAUAAGGGUAUACAUUAAAGCUUAUGUUAUUGGUACUGUUUAUCAAAUAUUUGUUAAUGUAUGACUGCAUGAUGUAACAGUCUUGGUCCUGGUUCUCAUUGAUGUCAUAUUAAUUCACAGUCGAUGUGAAAGAGCUGGAGCUCAAAA
This 965-nucleotide long non-coding RNA is filed under the name Oncorhynchus kisutch (coho salmon). RNAcentral describes it as "lncRNA (ENSOKIG00005047059.1)". The record is from RNAcentral. Lineage: Eukaryota; Metazoa; Chordata; Actinopteri; Salmoniformes; Salmonidae.